This 497-nucleotide ribosomal RNA is filed under the name uncultured bacterium. RNAcentral's name for it is "partial 16S ribosomal RNA". It matches the Rfam family "Bacterial small subunit ribosomal RNA", at positions 28 to 507 of the family's 1533-position model. The record is from RNAcentral.
GAUGAACGCUGGCGGCGUGCCUAAUACAUGCAAGUCGAGCGAACGGACGAGAAGCUUGCUUCUCUGAUGUUAGCGGCGGACGGGUGAGUAACACGUGGAUAACCUACCUAUAAGACUGGGAUAACUUCGGGAAACCGGAGCUACUACCGGAUAAUAUUUUGAACCGCAUGGUUCAAAAGUGAAAGACGGUCUUGCUGUCACUUAUAGAUGGAUCCGCGCUGCAUUAGCUAGUUGGUAAGGUAACGGCUUACCAAGGCAACGAUGCAUAGCCGACCUGAGAGGGUGAUCGGCCACACGGGAACUGAGACACGGUCCAGACUCCUACGGGAGGCAGCAGUAGGGAAUCUUCCGCAAUGGGCGAAAGCCUGACGGAGCAACGCCGCGUGAGUGAUGAAGGUCUUCGGAUCGUAAAACUCUGUUAUUAGGGAAGAACAUAUGUGUAAGUAACUGUGCACAUCUUGACGGUACCUAAUCAGAAAGCCACGGCUAACUACGUG